Molecule: transfer RNA, 72 nt
Filed under: Bacillus subtilis
Lineage: Bacteria; Bacillati; Bacillota; Bacilli; Caryophanales; Bacillaceae
Description: tRNA-Asn
Rfam family: tRNA
About the family: Transfer RNA (tRNA) molecules are approximately 80 nucleotides in length. Their secondary structure includes four short double-helical elements and three loops (D, anti-codon, and T loops).
Source: RNAcentral
UCCACAGUAGCUCAGUGGUAGAGCUAUCGGCUGUUAACCGAUCGGUCGCAGGUUCGAAUCCUGCCUGUGGGA